UGGGUAACCUGCCUGUAAGACUGGGAUAACUCCGGGAAACCGGAGCUAAUACCGGAUAGUUCCUUGAACCGCAUGGUUCAAGGAUGAAAGACGGUUUCGGCUGUCACUUACAGAUGGACCCGCGGCGCAUUAGCUAGUUGGUGAGGUAACGGCUCACCAAGGCGACGAUGCGUAGCCGACCUGAGAGGGUGAUCGGCCACACUGGGACUGAGACACGGCCCAGACUCCUACGGGAGGCAGCAGUAGGGAAUCUUCCGCAAUGGACGAAAGUCUGACGGAGCAACGCCGCGUGAGUGAUGAAGGUUUUCGGAUCGUAAAGCUCUGUUGUUAGGGAAGAACAAGUGCAAGAGUAACUGCUUGCACCUUGACGGUACCUAACCAGAAAGCCACGGCUAACUACGUGCCAGCAGCCGCGGUAAUACGUAGGUGGCAAGCGUUGUCCGGAAAUUAUUGGGCGUAAAGGGCUCGCAGGCGGUUUCUUAAGUCUGAUGUGAAAGCCCCCGGCUCAACCGGGGAGGGUCAUUGGAAACUGGGAAACUUGAGUGCAGAAGAGGAGAGUGGAAUUCCACGUGUAGCGGUGAAAUGCGUAGAGAUGUGGAGGAACACCAGUGGCGAAGGCGACUCUCUGGUCUGUAACUGACGCUGAGGAGCGAAAGCGUGGGGAGCGAACAGGAUUAGAUACCCUGGUAGUCCACGCCGUAAACGAUGAGUGCUAAGUGUUAGGGGGUUUCCGCCCCUUAGUGCUGCAGCUAACGCAUUAAGCACUCCGCCUGGGGAGUACG
Molecule: ribosomal RNA, 782 nt
Filed under: Bacillus altitudinis
Lineage: Bacteria; Bacillati; Bacillota; Bacilli; Caryophanales; Bacillaceae
Description: bacterial SSU rRNA
Rfam family: Bacterial small subunit ribosomal RNA
Source: RNAcentral